UUGAGAUUUUAACACGAAGUGAGUGGCGAACGGGUGAGUAACACGUGGGUAACCUGCCCAGAAGUAGGGGAUAACACCUGGAAACAGAUGCUAAUACCGUAUAACAGAGAAAACCGCAUGGUUUUCUUUUAAAAGAUGGCUCUGCUAUCACUUCUGGAUGGACCCGCGGCGUAUUAGCUAGUUGGUGAGGUAAAGGCUCACCAAGGCAGUGAUACGUAGCCGACCUGAGAGGGUAAUCGGCCACAUUGGGACUGAGACACGGCCCAACUCCUACGGGAGGCAGCAGUAGGGAAUCUUCCACAAUGGACCAA
Molecule: ribosomal RNA, 311 nt
Filed under: Pediococcus pentosaceus
Lineage: Bacteria; Bacillati; Bacillota; Bacilli; Lactobacillales; Lactobacillaceae
Description: bacterial SSU rRNA
Rfam family: Bacterial small subunit ribosomal RNA
Source: RNAcentral